GCAGGCUCGCGCUUGAAUACAUUAGCAUGGAAUAAUGAAAUAGGACGUUCGAUCCUAUUUGUUGGUUUCUAGGAUUGACGUAAUGAUUAAUAGGGAUAGUUGGGGGCAUUAGUAUUCAAUUGUCAGAGGUGAAAUUCUUGGAUUUAUUGAAGACUAACUACUGCGAAAGCAUUUGCCAAGGAUGUUUUCAUUAAUCAAGAACGAAAGUUAGGGGAUCGAAGACGAUCAGAUACCGUCGUAGUCUUAACCAUAAACUAUGCCGACCAGGGAUCAGCGGGUGUUACUAAUAGGACCCCGCUGGCACCUUAUGAGAAAUCAAAGUCUUUGGGUUCCGGGGGGAGUAUGGUCGCAAGGCUGAAACUUAAAGGAAUUGACGGAAGGGCACCACCAGGUGUGGAGCCUGCG
Molecule: ribosomal RNA, 405 nt
Filed under: uncultured Glomus
Lineage: Eukaryota; Fungi; Glomeromycota; Glomeromycetes; Glomerales; Glomeraceae
Description: SSU rRNA
Rfam family: Eukaryotic small subunit ribosomal RNA
Source: RNAcentral